This 465-nucleotide ribosomal RNA is filed under the name Vreelandella stevensii. Its description in RNAcentral is "partial 16S ribosomal RNA". It matches the Rfam family "Bacterial small subunit ribosomal RNA", at positions 338 to 795 of the family's 1533-position model. Lineage: Bacteria; Pseudomonadati; Pseudomonadota; Gammaproteobacteria; Oceanospirillales; Halomonadaceae. The record is from RNAcentral.
CCUACGGGGCGCUGCAGUGGGGAAUAUUGGACAAUGGGCGAAAGCCUGAUCCAGCCAUGCCGCGUGUGUGAAGAAGGCCUUCGGGUUGUAAAGCACUUUCAGUGGGGAAGAAAGCCUUGGGGCUAAUACCCUCGAGGAAGGACAUCACCCACAGAAGAAGCACCGGCUAACUCCGUGCCAGCAGCCGCGGUAAUACGGAGGGUGCGAGCGUUAAUCGGAAUUACUGGGCGUAAAGCGCGCGUAGGCGGUCUGAUAAGCCGGUUGUGAAAGCCCCGGGCUCAACCUGGGAACAGCAUCCGGAACUGUCAGGCUAGAGUGCAGGAGAGGAAGGUAGAAUUCCCGGUGUAGCGGUGAAAUGCGUAGAGAUCGGGAGGAAUACCAGUGGCGAAGGCGGCCUUCUGGACUGACACUGACGCUGAGGUGCGAAAGCGUGGGUAGCAAACAGGAUUAGAUACCCUGGUAGUC